RNAcentral lists this ribosomal RNA (1930 nucleotides) under human gut metagenome. RNAcentral describes it as "bacterial LSU rRNA". It matches the Rfam family "Bacterial large subunit ribosomal RNA", at positions 879 to 2841 of the family's 2925-position model. The record is from RNAcentral.
CCUCGAUACAGAUUUGCGGAGGUAGAGCACUGAAUUUCCUAGGGGGCGUCAAAGCCUACCGAAGAAUAUCAAACUCCGAAUGCCGCGUAAUCGAUUAUCGGGAGUCAGACUGCACGAGAUAAGUUGGGCGGUCAAAAGGGAAAGAGCCCAGACCUUCAGUUAAGGUCCCCAAGUGCGCGUUAAGUGGAAAAGGAUGUGGGAUUUCGAAGACAACCAGGAUGUUGGCUCAGAAGCAGCCAUCCAUUCAAAGAGUGCGUAAUAGCUCACUGGUCGAGAGGUCCUGCGCCGAAAAUGUCCGGGGCUGAAACGCGCCACCGAAACUAAGGAACCGAAAGGUUGGUAGAGGAGCAUUGCAUGCGGAACGAAGCAGUACCGUAAGGAGCUGUGGACUGCAUGGAAGAGAGAAUGCCGGAAUGAGUAGCGAGAUAGAGGUGGGAAUCCUCUAGGCCGAAUAUCCAAGGUUUCCAGAGUAAAGCUGAUCUGCUCUGGGUAAGUCGGGGCCUAAGGCGAGGACGAGAGUCGUAGCCGAUGGACAACAGGUGGAGAUUCCUGUACUGCGGUAUGACAGAACUGUGGGGACACGUAAGGAAAGCGGAAGCCGGGAAUGGAUAGCCCGGUGCAAGCGGGGUACCAGUCACUUUGGCAAAUCCGGGUGGCAAUGGGAAGCCGUGAUGCGGAGCGAAAUAAAGUAGUGAAGUCCGUGAGCCAUGCGUCAAGAAAAGCCGCUAUCGUUUAUACCGUACCCGUACCGUAAACCGACACAGGUGGAUGAGGAGAGAAUCCUAAGGCCGGCGGAAGAAGCAUUGUCAAGGAACUCGGCAAAAUGGCCCCGUAACUUAGGGAUAAGGGGUGCCUGGGAAACCAGGCCGCAGAGAAUAGGCUCAAGCAACUGUUUAGCAAAAACACAGGUCUAUGCGAAACCGAAAGGUGAGGUAUAUGGGCUGACGCCUGCCCGGUGCUGGAAGGUUAAGAGGAGAGGUUAGCGCAAGCGAAGCUUUGAAUUUAAGCCCCAGUAAACGGCGGCCGUAACUAUAACGGUCCUAAGGUAGCGAAAUUCCUUGUCGGGUAAGUUCCGACCCGCACGAAAGGCGUAAUGAUUUGAGCGCUGUCUCGACAAUGCAUCCGGUGAAAUUGAAGUACCAGUGAAGAUGCUGGUUACCUGCGCCAGGACGGAAAGACCCCAUGGAGCUUUACUCCAGUCUGGUACUGGGACUCGGUAUUGCAUGUACAGGAUAGGUGGGAGGCUAGGAGAUGGUAACGCCAGUUGCCAUGGAGCCGCUGUUGGGAUACCACCCUUGCAGUAUUGGGUUUCUAACCAGCCGCCGUGACCCGGCGGUGGGACAAUGCCAGACGGGGAGUUUGACUGGGGCGGUCGCCUCCGAAAGGGUAUCGGAGGCGCCCAAAGGUUCCCUCAGAAUGGACGGAAACCAUUCGAAGAGUGCAAAGGCAGAAGGGAGCUUGACUGCGACACCGACGGGUGGAGCAGGUACGAAAGUAGGGCUUAGUGAUCCGGUGGUAUUAAGUGGGAAUGCCAUCGCUCAACGGAUAAAAGCUACCCUGGGGAUAACAGGCUUAUCACUCCCAAGAGUUCACAUCGACGGAGUGGUUUGGCACCUCGAUGUCGGCUCAUCGCAUCCUGGGGCUGAAGUAGGUCCCAAGGGUUGGGCUGUUCGCCCAUUAAAGCGGUACGCGAGCUGGGUUCAGAACGUCGUGAGACAGUUCGGUCCCUAUCCGGCGUGGGCGUAGGAUAUCUGAGAGGAGCUGUCCUUAGUACGAGAGGACCGGGAUGGACGGGCCGCUGGUGCAUCGGUUAGACUGCCAAGUCUACGGCCGAGUAGCCAAGCCCGGAAGGGAUAAACGCUGAAGGCAUCUAAGCGUGAAGCCCCCCUUAAGAUGAGAUAUCCCAUUCGAAAGAAGUAAACCCCCUUGA